CUUCAGUCCCGUUCGUUGAUGUAUGGAAGAUGACCUGUGAAAGCAUGGACCAUGUCUGAAGGUCCUUCUUGUGGUUGUGAUGGGCUUUGCAACCAGCAGAGUAGUGCGUGAAUUUGGCCACUGCUGCUCCUACUCAGACUUUCCAAUGGUGCCAUCUUGGAUCAGCCAUGGCGGCACCCGAUGGCAUCGGCACAUGGAUGGGUUGUGGAGUAUGGUUUUCAUACGGAGUAUGGUUUUCAUACUGAAUUCGCUAGAGGAUUCAACAACAGUGAUGCAGCAGGAUUUGUAUUGUAAGUCGGUCUGAUGCAGUUCAGCUGCACCAUGAUGACCUCAUAAAUGACACCAGUUGACCCCAGGAGCUCCGAAUUACUAUCUAAUGAAUACAUGAGGUCAUCGUAAUGGAAAAUGAGGUGCUUUUAUCACGUUUGGGAAAAUAACUUUGUAAAACGGUGAGCUUACAGUCGUUAGUAAAUAACACUGUCCAGUGUGAAUUAUCAAGCCCUCUCCCUGGGUGUUACACCCCUACCUCUCUUUGGAGAGAGUGAAACCAAUUUUCCUUGAACGCCGCCCCACCCCAGCGGCUGGGAAUCCUCUCAGCCCGUCGUGAAGGUACAACGGGAUGGAGCUUUAUGUAGAUGAGGCCUUCUGACGUCACGCUAGCGUGCGAGUGCAACCCUGCCACGGAAACUCCGGCCCCGGGCUCCCAUUUCCCAC
This is a long non-coding RNA of Brienomyrus brachyistius, 714 nucleotides long. RefSeq lists it as uncharacterized. NCBI's taxonomy places the organism in Eukaryota, Metazoa, Chordata, Actinopteri, Osteoglossiformes, Mormyridae. The transcript has 3 exons. The record is from RefSeq and is a predicted model, not a curated record.